CACUGAUCCUCAGGCCCUUACGGUCUCUCUGCCCCGUCUUCUGUGAUAUCCCCAGAGCCUUUACAGUGCCAAUUAUGUUGAAGAUGCAUCAAUUGGGGUUCAAAAGCCUAAGGACAGUUUAUCUCUGCACACUGACCAGUUGUGAAUCCCUGUGGUGGUCUCUGACUGCUGCAAAAAGAAGAUUUUCUGGACCUGAGCUCUGCUGAAGGAGGCAUCACCUGGGUCGAAGGCCGGCAUUAACUUUAGAGCCAAGAACACACACCGUAAAGCUGGUGCACUGACUCGGUGUCUCUCCAGCUCAGCGGUUCUCCAGGGUGACUUCGCACCUUGGAUUUGUCCCCUCAUCCACAGAGACGUUUGGCCCCAUCUAAAGGCUGCUGGAUGGAAUCGAGGCAGCUGCCUGGCUCAUAAGCUGAAUGGAAGCUGGGAGCAAGAAUGGAGCGCUGAACACAGCUCCUUGCUGAGCGCAGAGAGCAGCUGCAGGUCAUCGAGGGACCACUCAUUGUACUGUGUAUCUGCAGGCCAUGGAGGAGAAACCCUAAUGAGACAUCUCUGCAGGCAUCUGUUUGGGCUUUGUUCUUCCGGGUGGGAGGAAAUCACGCUGAGAUGCGUCCAUGGUGGAGGCAGACACAUGACUUCCCAAUCCAGGACCUCACUGGGCUUUGAUACUUUACGCUUUGCAUGAACAGCAGAUGAGAGAAGCAUCUCUCGGCCCAGAGUCCUUACACUCAAGAAACAUUAUGCAGGAAAACCGUGAAAAGCCGUGAGACCCAUCGAAAGCCGUGGCUCACUUUGGGAUUGAAUUACCACUUAAAUCAAACUGACACUGGGCAGGGGGCUUGAAGAAUGAAAUUAAGGGGGAGGCUGUAUUUCAACUGGGAAGCCUUGGGUGCUUUCCAGGAGAGCAGGUCUCCUCUGGAUGAAGUAUAACCCUGAGCUCGAGCUGUACCCUCUUUGAUUUAUCUCAGCCAGGGAGACUUGUUUCAGUGGCUCCAAAUGUUAUUUUCAAAGAGCAAAUGAACAUCUCAUGCUGGAAGCAAUGACAAGGAAAUCAGCUUGGCAGGAUCCAGUACUGGAAAAGGCAGGAAGGAGCUCUGAGCCCUGCUGGCUUCUAAUUUUAAACUCAAGUUCAAGUCGGCCUGAAGAGCUGGUGGAAGGGAGAUGGGAAUCUGGUGUGUUUCCCAGGAAUAUCUUCUACGGCCGCUGUUGGCGGUCAGGGUGUGCAGAGGCUUGCGGCCAAAGAGGGAAAGGUGACGGUGACUCAACCAGAUGAGAAGGAGAGGAAGUGGGGACCCCAAGCUCAGCUCAGCCCGGUCCUUCCCCAGACCAUCUCCUUAUCAGCCUCCCCUUAUUCUACAGAGAUCAAAGAUGUUGCUUUCAUCUGAGAGAACCAGAGCCAAUAGAUUCAGAGAGCAUCCCAAAGAGGGUUUGUCAGAUCGGCUUAUGCAAUCGGGGCUGGUGAGUGAGUCCAAUGGUGGCCGCCUGCACACAGGAGAGGCUCGGAUCCCAGUAGUCCAUGAGGCCGGACACUUCAGCAGUCUCAGUCUGACACUGAAGACCCUCGGGAUUCCCAAGGAUUCAGUCCACAUUGGAAGACUGGAAAAACUGGCUAUGCGCCGAUCACGGAAUAAACGCCCUCGACGGCCAAAAGCAAAGGAUGUUCCUUGGGGAAACAUUGCAUCUUCUCUGUGGCCACAAGAUCUCUCGGAACAAGACAAGUCCUGUCAUCAUAGGGGGCUUCUGUGGCUAGGCCAGCCUGACAGCAGAUGUGGAGCACGCAACCCCCUACACGCCAGCCUCUACACCCCCACAGGUUGGCCUAGACAGCCAGGUGUGUGUGUCAAGCAGGACAUGGCCCCUCAGGUUGUUGCACCCAUGACCUGGAAUCUAUGUGGGUGUCAGAGAACAACUUGCAGAAGUCGCUUCUCUCCUUCUACCCGAUGGGCCCUGGGGAUAGAAUUCAGUUUUCCAGGUUUGUCGGUAAAGACCUUUCCUAGCUGCAUCUGCUGGGUCUGCUCUCCUGGCCGCUGCUCAGCCUGAUUCAGGGAUGGGGGAGUCAAACGGGAAGUUGCCUAUGCAGAAAAACAAACACAUUGAGAUGCAAGCUUUCACUUCUACACAAAAAACACUCACCAGUGAGUGAGACUCCCAGGGUGCGCACAGUGGAAGGAAAGAACCAAAUCCUGCAACUGUGCUCUGCUCUCCACAGGCCCCUGAGCAAAAUAAUAUGUAAUAAAACUCCUCGAAGUCAUCUUAGAGAUUAUGUGUUGGGUCAUCUGUUCCCUCCCACCUGAGGGGUCAUUGCUUGACACAGCCGACUGUACAGGUCAGCCUUUGAACGUUUGAUGAGGAAGCAAACAAGCAAUGGGCAAGGUGGGAAUUUCUGCUCCCAGGCUCACCUCCCGGAAGUGUCUGAGAACUCCCGCCAAUGGCGUAGGACCUGAUUUCCACCCCAAGCUGCCAAGUGAAGCUGAGAGAUCUGUACUUACAUGGUAACUCUUUGCUCUUUCUGUGGGAUUUCUCCAAGAAGGCUGUUGCUGUUAGAGACUCUGCAGAAAUCCUGCCACCUGCUUUGGGGGUGACCUCGUCCAGAACAUAACUCCAGCCCGUGGUGAACUGUCUCCUGCCUUGCAGCCUCUCCUUCUUUCCUCCCUGUGUUCCCAGAAUCCCCUCCAGGAAAGCGUCGUGCUCAAACCUUGCUUCAA
This 2705-nucleotide small RNA is filed under the name Rattus norvegicus (Norway rat). Its description in RNAcentral is "uncharacterized LOC102550429". Lineage: Eukaryota; Metazoa; Chordata; Mammalia; Rodentia; Muridae. The record is from RNAcentral.